This 283-nucleotide ribosomal RNA is filed under the name uncultured bacterium. RNAcentral describes it as "partial 16S ribosomal RNA". It matches the Rfam family "Bacterial small subunit ribosomal RNA", at positions 773 to 1060 of the family's 1533-position model. The record is from RNAcentral.
GUGGAUUAGAUACCCUGGUAGUCCACGCCCUAAACGAUGAUGACUCGAUGUUAGCGAUAUACUGUUAGCGUCCAAGCGAAAGCGUUAAGUCAUCCACCUGGGGAGUACGCCCGCAAGGGUGAAACUCAAAGGAAUUGACGGGGGCCCGCACAAGCGGAGGAGCAUGUGGUUUAAUUCGAUGAUACGCGAGGAACCUUACCCGGGCUUGAAAGUUACUGAAGCAUCCAGAGACGGAUGCGUCCUUCGGGACAGGAAACUAGGUGCUGCACGGUCGUCGACAACU